UACAGAGGUCUCGAGCGUUAGUCGGAUUCAUUGGGCUUAAAGCGUACGUAGGCGGAUAUGCAGGCGUCGUGUGAAAGCCCUCGGCUCAACCGAGGAAUUGCACGGCGAACCGCAUGUCUUGAGAUCGGUAGGGGCGGUCGGAACGAUAGGUGGAGUGGUGAAAUGCGUUGAUAUCUAUCGGAACGCCGAAGGUGAAAACAGGCCGCUGGGCCGAUUCUGACGCUGAGGUACGAAAGUGUGGGGAGCGAACAGG
Molecule: ribosomal RNA, 253 nt
Filed under: uncultured bacterium
Lineage: Bacteria
Description: partial 16S ribosomal RNA
Rfam family: Bacterial small subunit ribosomal RNA
Source: RNAcentral